UCAGGAUGAACGCUAGCUACAGGCUUAACACAUGCAAGUCGAGGGGCAGCAUUGGGAUAGCUGCUAUUCAGAUGGCGACCGGCGCACGGGUGAGUAACGCGUAUCCAACCUUCCUGCCAGUAGGGAACAGCCCGGCGAAAGUCGGAUUAAUGCCCUAUGUUCUUCAAUGCGGACAUCUAAGUUGAAGGAAAGAUUCAUCGCUGGCAGAUGGGGAUGCGUCCGAUUAGCUUGCCGGCGGGGUAACGGCCCACCGGGGCGACGAUCGGUAGGGGUUCUGAGAGGAAGGUCCCCCACACUGGUACUGAGACACGGACCAGACUCCUACGGGAGGCAGCAGUGAGGAAUAUUGGUCAAUGGGCGUAAGCCUGAACCAGCCAAGUAGCGUGCAAGGAUGACGGCCCUACGGGUUGUAAACUGCUUUUAUGCGGGGAUAAAGUGCGGCACGUGUGCCGCUUUGCAGGUACCGCAUGAAUAAGGACCGGCUAAUUCCGUGCCAGCCGCCGC
Molecule: ribosomal RNA, 504 nt
Filed under: uncultured bacterium
Lineage: Bacteria
Description: bacterial SSU rRNA
Rfam family: Bacterial small subunit ribosomal RNA
Source: RNAcentral